AUCUGUAUACAAACUGCUUUUUCUUAGUCUGUCAUAGUUACUUUCUCUUUAUAUGCCCUUGGUUGAAAUAACCUCUGUCAGCAGAAAAAGAGUACUGCCAGUGUAACUUUCACCAACUGCUGUUUUCAUUUCAUUUCAAAAUAUGAUGUGAUAAAAAUAAAAUCCAUAGUAGCUGUAAUAGUAGCUCUCAACACAGUUAUAUAAUAAAUACAGACCAUUAAGUCCUUCUGUAGAUGUUUGUAGUCGGGUGUUUAUUAUUUUAGGAAUACUUUCUUCCCACUGCUAUUAUGACGUGUUGGUACAUCCUGCUAUGCAGCAUAUUCCAGCAUCUACUAAUUAUUGUUUAGUACUAGGGUUAAGAGUUACCAUACUCUACCUACUGGGCAUUUUCUUUUCUGUUUUAUGAUGUUCAAAAUUUUUUGAAAAGCACUGACACAUUCUUACCAUUCACUAUUAAUACUGAAAUCUUAAGACAUUACAAUAAUUAGACCUGAACAUUGAUGGAAGAUGAAGACUCCUCCCUCUCCAAUCAAAGAAGCUUAUGCAAAGAAGUGUUCCUUGGGGACCGGAGAGGAGAAGCAGGAUUACUUCAUUGCAAGUCUGGAUCACCUUCGUAUUUCUCCUGUUGUCUCUGGGUUUAAAUUGUUGGAGCAGCCGCUCCCCCUGGUGCUCUGUUUUGUAGCGCACAACACAGUACAGUCAAAGUAGGUACGUUCCCACUUAAUUAACAAAAAA
Molecule: non-coding RNA, 735 nt
Organism: Taeniopygia guttata (zebra finch)
Lineage: Eukaryota; Metazoa; Chordata; Aves; Passeriformes; Estrildidae
Source: RefSeq, a predicted model, not a curated record